This is a long non-coding RNA of Austrofundulus limnaeus, 1586 nucleotides long. RefSeq lists it as uncharacterized. NCBI's taxonomy places the organism in Eukaryota, Metazoa, Chordata, Actinopteri, Cyprinodontiformes, Rivulidae. The transcript has 7 exons. The record is from RefSeq and is a predicted model, not a curated record.
CGGUCAAGGCCAAGGCCUCCAAGGUGUGCCUGCAGUGCCCCGGCUGCCGCGCCGUCCUCCCCGACGUCCCGCUGCCUCCGGGCCUGCAGGGCUUACGCUGUGCCGCGCAAGUGCAACAGUAAGAACGUCGGGAGGGUGAAGUGUCCCGUGGACCCGUACUUCAUCGUCCCGGACCGCUGCGUUUGCGUGGACUUCCAGACGCUUCGCCUGCAGGAGUCUCCGGACGCUGUGCCUCACGGAGAGAUGCCCUUCACCUCCAGCUGUACUGUGACCAGUAGGAGGAGCGCAGUCCGAUGGAGGCGUCCAGUCCAGAGUGGUUUGUUCGGCUGAGUCUUGACUUCUCGUCCUCAGGUAUCUGUGYGACCGUGUGGUGCCUGGGAACGGGGUGACCAUCAUGGGUCGCGGUGCCACCGGGUCAGUGUCUCCACAGGAGGAGGAGCUGUGAGCUCUUGCUGCUUCUCCUAACAUCUAUACGACUCUCUGGCCCGCUCCGUAGCUCCGUCCAUCUAYGGCAGCGACGAUCUGAAGAAGGCCAUCGCCUGUUUGCUGUUUUGAGGCUCGAGGAAGAGGCUGCCCGACGGUCUCACUCGCAGGGGCAACGUCCACCUGCUGAUGCUCGGAGACCCUGGAACAGCCAAGUCUCAGCUGCUCAAGUUCGUGGAGUGAUGCUCGCCAAUCGGGGUGAAWAAUCCUAAUCCUGAGCCGAUCGGUUCGCAGUGCCCYGCCUCUCCCCGCACCAACAAAAAGUGUGGCUCAGAGAGAAUUAAAAUCCCUGGUUUGAACUGCUCAGCCACAAACACGUYAGCCUGCACGGCCAAACAAACUGUCAAAAGCCGCAAUGAAAAGGACAAGAUUGUUGGACAAAUGUGCGUUGUUCAAAACGACGACCUGCUCCAGUGUUAUGAAACCAUCAGAGACUCAGAAGAGUUUGAUGCCACCACUGUGAGAGAAGCUGGAGGAUAUGUGAGGCUGUUGGAGGACGACACUUUCAGCUUCUUUCUGAAACUGUUCCAUCUUGUCAUGCCUCAUGUGGACAUUCUCUACAGCCCAGCUCCAGAAGCGGACCAUCGACUCUGUCUUUGUUCAGAGAAUCAUGCAGCAGUUCACAGACAACAUAGAAAAGUGCAGAGAUUUCAUUCCCUACUCUCUGUAAAGAACAUGAUGUGUCUCAGCAGGAGAAAAAAAUGUUGCUCACUGGGCUCAGGUGAUCUUCACAUCUCCUCUGACCACAGCUGAAACUGAGAGGAGUUUCUCAACACUGAAGACAAUCCAGACUUUCCUCAGUACCUGUUUUCAGACCCAAGGGRUUUUCUUGGAGAUCACCUGAUCCUGGUCACGCCAACCUGAGAAGUCUCGAGCCACUCACCUGUUCAUGCGCUGCCACCUUGCCUCCAACACACCUGUAAAUAGAGCACUCACCUGURAAWACYCACUUUUGGAUUUUUGGAUACUGGACCUGCUCCUCCACACAAAACCUAAAGCUCUCACCYGUUACAAAACUACACCAUCACCUCUCAGAAAUAACUUCCUGGAAUUACCUGUCAGUUUACUCACCUCUGCCAACUCUCUGCUUCCAGGUCCCGUUC